UCUCUCUUUUUUGCGUUUGUCUGAGUUCCAUCUCUUCUCCUCUUGCCAUUCUUAUUUUGCAAGCUGCAUCACACUCCCUUUUUUCCUUCUCCAGCAUAUUUCUGGUCUCCAUUAUCAACGUCUGUUUGCUAAAUUUGUCAAUCCGGCGAAUCUAUUCGCAGUGUUUAUCCUUUUUUCCAUUUGGGAUAUUCGGGUUGUGGCCGGAAUUAUGGCCGAUUUCCACCCCUUUGGGCGCGGCCUAUCUUCAGAUCUCUGCAGAAUCAAUCUUAUUUAGCUAAGUUGUGGUGCUUUGUUGGGGCUUUCCCAGCUAAAAGAGUAUAAAUUUCCUAGAAACUCCAGACUUAGAGAAAGCAGUUGCAGUAGCUGUGACUAUUAUUUGUUUCUCCCUUGAAAAAGAUCAUUAUCAAAGCAAUUUAUAUAAGCUACAAAGUGCUUUUGCUGAAAUUGAAAAAAAAAAAAAAGGUUAGCCAAUUUACUAAGUAGUGUUAAGUUUACAAUUUAUAAAUUUUUAUUAAUCGUAUUGAUAAUUAUUGCUUUAAAUAAAAAAAAAAUGGAUUAUUACAAUGCUGUUGUUUUGUAUGACUUAUUUAUACUAUGUUAUCUAUUGCAGAUUAUUGGCACAACAAUUUAUAUAAGCUACACUUUGCUUUUGCUCAAAUUGGAAAAAAAAAAAAAAAAAAAAAAAGGGUAAGUGACUGACAAGUAGUGUAAACUUUAGAAUUUACAAAUUUUUGUUAAUCAUGUUGAUAACUGUUUGUACAUAUAUAUAAAUAUGUUCUGGUAUUUGUAUCACCUUUUAAAAAUUUAUGUAUAUAAAAUAUCAUCAUGUGUUAAAGUUGUAUUUGUAUUUAUGUCUUUUAUACUGUGAUUAAGUCGGUUCUUUCUUUUUUACAAUGAGAUGCAAUAUUUUUUUUCUGUGAUUUUGCGGGUUUUAGAGCCUUGAA
Long non-coding RNA from Pyrus x bretschneideri (Chinese white pear), 944 nucleotides. RefSeq lists it as uncharacterized. The transcript is spliced from 3 exons. Lineage: Eukaryota; Viridiplantae; Streptophyta; Magnoliopsida; Rosales; Rosaceae. The record is from RefSeq and is a predicted model, not a curated record.